RNAcentral lists this microRNA (22 nucleotides) under Bos taurus (domestic cattle). RNAcentral's name for it is "bta-miR-2285ac". The record is from miRBase by way of RNAcentral. Lineage: Eukaryota; Metazoa; Chordata; Mammalia; Artiodactyla; Bovidae.
AAAACCUGAAGAGACUUUUUGG